GUUGGCAGAUAACAAGCAAAAAAAAAGUUUCAACAAGAAAAGGCCAUCCAUCCAUCAACCGAUGGACUUUUUGUGAAUGUCCGUCAGGUGCCAAUGUCGACCGAUACGAUAAAAAACUAUCUAGUCCAUUUGAAAAACAACAAAACUGUUUGAAAGUGAGGGGGGAUUCCGGUUUGAUAGCGAUCCAGCUCCGGAAUGUUGUUAUUCCGUUUUCACAGGUUUCUUCUUCCUUUUGGAAAAAGCGAAAGUCACGUGAUAACCGAUUCUCCCACACAGCCGGUAACUAAGGAAAAAAGAAGCCGCAAGGAAAGAGAAGACAAUACCUGGAUAUCUUUCGUGGAAAUUGGACUGACUAUUGGCGCUGUGCUGGUAAUUGAAAUCUCGGUGUUGCCAGGCCAGAGGCGUGCGUGAAUCCAAGUCGACACGAUCGUUGGAACUGCUCUGGCGGGAGCGUUCGCGCUCACGUUCACGACGAUCCAUUCGCCGUUCCAUUCACGACCGCCGAUUUGAAGGAGGAAAAAAACACGCACACACACAAGGUACACUUACACACACACGGAUAAUAAUGGAAUUUUCAAACUCUCUGUGGGAAGAUGGGUGAAGGUGAACAAACCAACAAUGUUUGUUUCUCUCUAAUUCUUUUUCUCACAUCCGCACCGGACCGGAACUACGGCCGGAUUGAAUAGAAAGGAAAUAUAACCCCCCUACGCCACUAUUUGUUGGGCUUCACUUGGGAGUAGAAAAACCGGUUUUGUGUGUGUGUGGUUCUUUAAGAAAAUCUUUUUUGAUGAGUUGUGAAAAAGAUAAAAAUGACACGGUGCGGAGUAAAGGAGAGAGAGGUCCGUUCGGAUCCGCUUCACAGUGUCGACUGGCCUGCGCGUAGCCGAGUCACUUUGGCUUUACCUUGUCUUUGGUAUAAAAACGGGCGAAGAAGAUGGCCGCCGCCGCCGUACACAUUUUGUGUGUGUUCUUCCCUCUGGCAGAAUUCAUGUCCCUACCCUUUUCCCUGCUCAAGUCAUCGACCUAUGUAAUGUCUAGUAUACCUUCCUUCCUUCUUCUUCUUCUUCUUCUUAUUCGGUUCUUCUUCUUCUUCUCCUUUUUGCGCCGCCCGCCAUUGGAGUGUGGGACCAAAUUCUCCGUUGCAUUUUUACCUGGUGGUGGAAGAGGUAGGGAAGGAAGUUGUUUUUUUUUUUUCUUCUAGGAGCAUUCAAUAAUUUGAAUAGCUCCUAUAUAGCUAAGGCCAUUUGGCUUGGAGAUGAGAUGGUAGAACACACACACCGAAAUAUAGACAAUCACACGGUCUAUGCGAUAUAUCUAUGAGCUCGCACAAUGUGUAUGUACCGGUGUAUCUACUUCCCGGCUGGGUUACUCCCGACAAACAAUUACCGAAUCUGGGUGACGGUUUAUUUGGCUAACAAUUGGGUGCCGUUGUUGUUGUUGUUGUUGUUGGCUGUUGGCUGUCCCAUUUGCUAUUAUUCAGAUGACAUAAUACGAUGAGCAGACCUUUUUUUUGUGUGUGUGUCGUGCAGUCGUCACGAGCCGCAUAAGAAAAAAUUGCUCACCUGGAAAUAAAGAUGAAGAAAUGAUUCUUUCGGGAUUUGAUGAUAAUAAUGCACGUAACGUUCGCUUUGAUGUUGCCUUUUAACGAGAUGAGAAAACAGUUUUUCUUUUGGG
Molecule: long non-coding RNA, 1674 nt
Filed under: Daphnia pulex (common water flea)
Lineage: Eukaryota; Metazoa; Arthropoda; Branchiopoda; Diplostraca; Daphniidae
Description: uncharacterized LOC124205528, transcript variant X1
Source: RNAcentral